RNAcentral lists this ribosomal RNA (627 nucleotides) under uncultured Russulaceae. RNAcentral describes it as "LSU rRNA". It matches the Rfam family "Eukaryotic large subunit ribosomal RNA", at positions 47 to 649 of the family's 3401-position model. Lineage: Eukaryota; Fungi; Basidiomycota; Agaricomycetes; Russulales; Russulaceae. The record is from RNAcentral.
UAAGCGGAGGAAAAGAAACUAACAAGGAUUCCCCUAGUAACUGCGAGUGAAGCGGGAAAAGCUCAAAUUUAAAAUCUGGCGGUCUUUGGCCGUCCGAGUUGUAAUUUAGAGAAGCGUCUUCCGCGCUGGACCGUGCACAAGUCUCCUGGAAUGGAGCGUCAUAGAGGGUGAGAAUCCCGUCUUUGGCACGGAUGCCUGGUGCUUCUGUGAUGCGCUCUCGAAGAGUCGAGUUGUUUGGGAAUGCAGCUCAAAAUGGGUGGUGAACUCCAUCUAAAGCUAAAUAUUGGCGAGAGACCGAUAGCGAACAAGUACCGUGAGGGAAAGAUGAAAAGCACUUUGGAAAGAGAGUGAAACAGUACUUGAAAUUGUUGAAAGGGAAACGCUUGAAGUCAGUCGCGUCGACCGAGACUCAGCCUUGCCUUGGCUUGGUGUACUUCUCGGCCCGACGGGUCAGCAUCAAUUUUGCCCCUCGGAUAAUGGCAAGGGAAAGGUGGCACCUUUACGGGUGUGUUAUAGUCUCCUGUCGAAUGCGAGGGGUGGGAUUGAGGAACUCAGCGCGCACCUCAGUGUCGGGGCUUCGGCCCACGUCACGCGCUUAGGAUGCUGGCGUAAUGGCUUUAAACGACC